UUUGCAUAGGUUUACAAGGUUGAGUAAAGAGUUGAAAAAUGGUGCCAGAAAAAGAUUAAUUGACUGAGGGAUCACAUAUGGUAGGGAAAAAUAUCACUUAAAAAUUUCCUUCAUUUCAUGACAAGGUAGCUUGAACUCUCUCCAUAUAAUGUGGUUUGGAAUGGAAAAUGUCGACUACUAAGUUUGGGACUACUACUCCUGCUCAGUUGGAAUGAUGAAUUUGGAUUUACAUGUGAUGACUGUUUUGCUUUGCUGAUGGCCACGAAUUCGAUCCACAAUGUGUUGAUUUUGUUUUACUUGGAUUUAUCAAAGGACUAUCAAGUUACCAUUCAUCGACACAACGGAUUGGACUCUUUUUCCUUAACAAAAGGUACUAUGAAUUGAUUGAGUUCAACAUCUGGCAUUUAAGGGGAAAGGGCAAAAAGAUAUUGAAAUAAGGCUUUAUGAAAUAGAUGUUAUUGUUAAUCAGAUUAGUUGUGCUGCUACGUACAAUUCACAUGCAUAUGGAGCAUGUUUUGGUAAUUUAUUAUUCAAAAUCUGGAAGUGGUGGGGGAAAGUAACAAGGACUGAAUAAGGACUUAAAAAACUGAUGUGUUUGCUAAUUAGAAUGUUAGUGCUUUAGCAAUUGAUGUGUG
Molecule: long non-coding RNA, 635 nt
Organism: Lycium ferocissimum
Lineage: Eukaryota; Viridiplantae; Streptophyta; Magnoliopsida; Solanales; Solanaceae
Exons: 4
Source: RefSeq, a predicted model, not a curated record